UCAGUAACGGCGAGUGAACGGGGAGAAGCCCAGCGCUGAAUCUUUCGGUGUUACACCGUUGAGAAAUGUAGCGUAUAGGUAUGAUUUUCAGUUUGUGCUAUAUGUCCAAAGUCCCUUUGAUAGGGGCCACUUUCCUGAGAGGGUGCGAGACCUGUGCGGACAGUGGAGCAAGCUGUAUGAUUAUACCUUAGAGUCGGGUUGCUUGAAAGUGCAGCCUAAAGUGGGUGAUAAACUUCAUCUAAGGCUAAAUAUAGACGCGAAUUCGAUAGCAAACAAGUACUGUGAAGGAAAGUUGCAAAGAACUUUGAAGAGAGAGUUCAAGAGAACGUGAAAUCGCUGGAGUGGAACCGGAGAGAGUUGACGUAACCGGGUAACUAAGUUUCCUAAUGUCGCUUAAUUGUGGCUACAGGUGAUGUAUGUUGCCUAUGGUUGCGCUGACAGCACUGGCUGUGCGUUCUGACCCGUUUGUGUUGCCCACCGUCACCGGUGGUGUCUUGCUUACGGUUAGGUCUGUCAUGGCUAGUGUUUUAUCCUGCAUGCAGGGUGUCAGUGUGAAAGUCGACCACCUCUCCGACCCGUCUUGAAACACGGACCGAGGAGUGUAACUUGUACGCGAGUCAAAGGGUGGUAAAACCCUAAGGCGUAAUGAAAGUAAAGGUCGGUUAACCGGCUGACAUGGGAUCUGCUCUUCGGAGCAGCGCACCAUGGCCCUGUCUUGUCUGCAUGCAGAUGGGCAGCGGUAGAGCGUACAGGUUGCGACCCGAAAGAUGGUGAACUAUGCCUGAGCAGGACGAAGUCAGAGGAAACUCUGGUGGAAGUCCGUAUCGGUUCUGACGUGCAAAUCGAUCGAUAGACUUGGGUAUAGGGGCGAAAGACUAAUCGAAC
RNAcentral lists this ribosomal RNA (885 nucleotides) under Haemonchus sp. 92619. RNAcentral describes it as "eukaryotic LSU rRNA". It matches the Rfam family "Eukaryotic large subunit ribosomal RNA", at positions 80 to 940 of the family's 3401-position model. Lineage: Eukaryota; Metazoa; Nematoda; Chromadorea; Rhabditida; Trichostrongylidae. The record is from RNAcentral.